This 433-nucleotide ribosomal RNA is filed under the name uncultured bacterium. RNAcentral's name for it is "partial 16S ribosomal RNA". It matches the Rfam family "Bacterial small subunit ribosomal RNA", at positions 29 to 507 of the family's 1533-position model. The record is from RNAcentral.
AACGAACGCUGGCGGCAUGCUUAACACAUGCAAGUCGAACGAGACCUCCGGGUCUAGUGGCGCACGGGUGCGUAACGCGUGGGAACCUGCCCUUAGGUUCGGAAUAACUCCCCGAAAGGGGUGCUAAUACCGGAUAAUGUCUUCGGACCAAAGAUUUAUCGCCUUUGGAUGGGCCCGCGUUGGAUUAGCUAGUUGGUAGGGUAAAAGCCUAUCAAGGCGACGAUGCAUAGCUGGUCUGAGAGGAGGAUCAGCCACACUGGGGCUGAGACACGGCCCAGUCUCCUACGCAGGGCAGCAGUGGGGAAUAUUGGACAAUGGGCGAAAGCCUGAUCCAGCAAUGCCGCGUAAGUGAUGAAGGCCUUAGGGUUGUAAAGCUCUUUUACCCGGGAUGAUAAUGACAGUACCGGGAGAAUAAGCACCGGCUAACUCCGUG